UACAGAGGUCUCAAGCGUUGUUCGGAAUCACUGGGCGUAAAGCGUGCGUAGGCUGUUUCGUAAGUCGUGUGUGAAAGGCGCGGGCUCAACCCGCGGACGGCACAUGAUACUGCGAGACUAGAGUAAUGGAGGGGGAACCGGAAUUCUCGGUGUAGCAGUGAAAUGCGUAGAUAUCGAGAGGAACACUCGUGGCGAAGGCGGGUUCCUGGACAUUAACUGACGCUGAAGCACGAAGGCCAGGGGAGCGAAAGGG
This 253-nucleotide ribosomal RNA is filed under the name uncultured bacterium. RNAcentral describes it as "partial 16S ribosomal RNA". It matches the Rfam family "Bacterial small subunit ribosomal RNA", at positions 524 to 776 of the family's 1533-position model. The record is from RNAcentral.